This 433-nucleotide ribosomal RNA is filed under the name uncultured bacterium. RNAcentral describes it as "partial 16S ribosomal RNA". It matches the Rfam family "Bacterial small subunit ribosomal RNA", at positions 29 to 507 of the family's 1533-position model. The record is from RNAcentral.
AACGAACGCUGGCGGCAGGCUUAACACAUGCAAGUCGAGCGCAUCCUUCGGGGUGAGCGGCGGACGGGUGAGUAACGCGUGGGAACGUGCCCUCUUCUACGGAAUAGCCUCGGGAAACUGAGAGUAAUGCCGUAUACGCCCGCAAGGGGAAAGAUUUAUCGGAGGAGGAUCGGCCCGCGUUGGAUUAGGUAGUUGGUGGGGUAACGGCCUACCAAGCCGACGAUCCAUAGCUGGUUUGAGAGGAUGAUCAGCCACACUGGGACUGAGACACGGCCCAGACUCCCACGGGAGGCAGGCGGGGGGAAUCUUUGACAAUGGGGGCAAACCUGGUCCAGCCAUGCCGCGUGAUCGAUGAAGGCCUUAGGGUUGUAAAGAUCUUUCAGCUGGGAAGAUAAUGACGGUACCAGCAGAAGAAGCCCCGGCUAACUCCGUG